GUCCGUCAUGCAGGGAUGGGAUUUUGAUUUUCGAUUAGAAAGAAAGCCUUGAUUACAAACAAUAUAAAUAAAUGGCUCGCAAGUCGCCACCGCCAAAUCCAAUCAACUUGUCUCCUCGGAAUCCUUCUCCCGUGAUCGGCGGAUUGUGAAUGCCGUUCACCGAGAUUUUCUCCGGUACGUUAGCAUUGAUUUGUUUCUAUUUCUAUUUCUUCCAUUUCCACACGUGGUGGUUAUGAGUUACUCUGUUUCUUCAGAUUUACCUUCUUCAUUGCUUAUAUGCUCUCUCUCUUCUAACUUGCCUGAGAUUUGUUCGUGAGGUUUUAAGAACCCAAUCUUUUGAUCUCUGUCUGGAUUUUGAUUUCACACACACAUGCAAAUCUCCCGAGACUAGAAAGUAGCUUUUUUUUUUUUUUUUUUUUUUUUUU
This 425-nucleotide long non-coding RNA is filed under the name Brassica napus (rape). Its description in RNAcentral is "long non-coding RNA (BNAP_LNC003842)". Lineage: Eukaryota; Viridiplantae; Streptophyta; Magnoliopsida; Brassicales; Brassicaceae. The record is from RNAcentral.